Long non-coding RNA from Arvicanthis niloticus (Nile rat), 183 nucleotides. RefSeq lists it as uncharacterized. The record is from RefSeq and is a predicted model, not a curated record. Lineage: Eukaryota; Metazoa; Chordata; Mammalia; Rodentia; Muridae.
CCCAGCCCAGAAAGGCAGGAAUAGAAACAGGGGUUAUUUCUGGCCCCUCACCACCGCCCAGCCCAGCGCCAGGCUGCUCAGCUUCUCGUCCAGGUGCAGAGGGUCCUCAUGGUGGUGCAGUGCGCAUGCCUCGAAGCUGACACUGGACAUCCAGCUGACUUCUGCUGACUCAAAAUUUUAAAA